AGAGUUUGAUCCUGGCUCAGAUUGAACGCUGGCGGCAUGCCUAACACAUGCAAGUCGAACGGUAACGCGGAGAGCUUGCUCUCUGGCGACGAGUGGCGGACGGGUGAGUAACGCGUAGAAAUCUGCCUAGUAGUGGGGGACAACCUGGAGAAAUCCAGGCUAAUACCGCAUACGCCCUACGGGGGAAAGCGGGGGAUCUUCGGACCUCGCGCUAUUAGAUGAGUCUGCGUCGGAUUAGCUAGUUGGUGAGGUAAAGGCUCACCAAGGCGACGAUCCGUAGCUGGUCUGAGAGGAUGAUCAGCCACACCGGGACUGAGACACGGCCCGGACUCCUACGGGAGGCAGCAGUGGGGAAUAUUGGACAAUGGGGGAAACCCUGAUCCAGCAAUGCCGCGUGUGUGACGAAGGCCUGCGGGUUGUAAAGCACUUUCAAUUGGGAAGAAAAGCAGUCGGUUAAUAACCGGCUGUCUUGACGUUACCUUUACAAGAAGCACCGGCUAACUCCGUGCCAGCAGCCCGGUAAUACGGAGGGUGCAAGCGUUAAUCGGAAUUACUGGGCGUAAAGCGCGCGUAGGCGGCUUUGUAAGUCAAAUGUGAAAGCCCCGGGCUUAACCUGGGAAUUGCAUUCGAUACUGCACGGCUAGAGUAUGGGAGAGGGAAGUGGAAUUUCCGGUGUAGCGGUGAAAUGCGUAGAUAUCGGAAGGAACACCAGUGGCGAAGGCGACUUCCUGGCCCAAUACUGACGCUCAGGUGCGAAAGCGUGGGGAGCAAACAGGAUUAGAUACCCUGGUAGUCCACGCCGUAAACGAUGAGAACUAGAUGUCGGGAGGGUUCAGCUUCUCGGUGUCGCAGCUAACGCAUUAAGUUCUCCGCCUGGGGAGUACGCCGGCAACGGUAAAACUCAAAGGAAUUGACGGGGACCCGCACAAGCGGUGGAGCAUGUGGUUUAAUUCGAUGCAACGCGAAGAACCUUACCUGCCCUUGACAUACUCGGAACUUUCCAGAGAUGGAUUGGUGCCUUCGGGAACCGAGAUACAGGUGCUGCAUGGCUGUCGUCAGCUCGUGUCGUGAGAUGUUGGGUUAAGUCCCGCAACGAGCGCAACCCUUCUCCCUAGUUGCCAGCGGUUCGGCCGGGAACUCUAGGGAGACCGCCAGCGACAAGCUGGAGGAAGGUGGGGACGACGUCAAGUCAUCAUGGCCCUUGUGGGCAGGGCUACACACGUGCUACAAUGGCCGGUACAGACGGUCGCUAACCCGCAAGGGGGAGCCAAUCCGAGAAAGCCGGUCGUAGUCCGGAUCGGGGUCUGCAACUCGACCCCGUGAAGUCGGAAUCGCUAGUAAUCGCGAAUCAGCAACGUCGCGGUGAAUACGUUCCCGGGUCUUGUACACACCGCCCGUCACACCAUGGAAGUUGGUUGCACCAGAAGUAGGUAGCCUAACCUUAGGGAGGGCGCUUACCACGGUGUGGCUAAUGACUGGGGUGAAGUCGUAACAAGGUA
This 1499-nucleotide ribosomal RNA is filed under the name metagenome. RNAcentral's name for it is "bacterial SSU rRNA". It matches the Rfam family "Bacterial small subunit ribosomal RNA". The record is from RNAcentral.